GUGCGAAAUAUUGGACCGGUGUCUUUUUUGUUUUUCAUUUAGCAUUUAUUCAUUACUGUUCGUCGUGUAUUAAAUUUGCUGUUAUAAUUCUUGUGCCACUAUUAAACAUGCGUUAAAUCAACCAGCUUUUCUUGUGUUUCUAACAAACGUUUAAAUUGUAAAUCAUUGUUUUGUUUGGUAAGUAUUUGACAUUUCUAUAAUACUAUUAAAAUUAUAGACCCGUUGACAUGUGAUAAGUGCGAUAUUAUUUGUAUAGAUUUUUAAAAAGCUCUAAUCUUGUUUACCAAACGAAAAAAUCAAAACAAGUAUAGUUUCACACAAUUAUACUGGAUACUUAAUACUUGUAUUACGAUUGUUAGAAAUUUGAUAUUGUCGAAAUAAUACUUGUU
This 389-nucleotide long non-coding RNA is filed under the name Cinara cedri. The record is from RNAcentral. Lineage: Eukaryota; Metazoa; Arthropoda; Insecta; Hemiptera; Aphididae.